Long non-coding RNA from Olea europaea var. sylvestris, 635 nucleotides. RefSeq lists it as uncharacterized. NCBI's taxonomy places the organism in Eukaryota, Viridiplantae, Streptophyta, Magnoliopsida, Lamiales, Oleaceae. The transcript is spliced from 2 exons. The record is from RefSeq and is a predicted model, not a curated record.
GUGAAGGCUGGAUCGCUGCUUGGUGGUGGAGGUUGCUGACCAAAUAUCAUCUCACAGCUCAUAUCUUCAAAAUCUGCAAACAGAAAGGCCAUGGAAGGAUGAUAAGCUCAGACAUGACCAUUUUUAAAUAAAAAAUGGUGCCUUUGCUGGUUUGUCUCGAGAUUUUGUCCCCUUUUCCUUUUUGGGGACAAGCUUUAUAAUAUAAAGAAUUGAGUUAUAUAUUUAGCCGUAAUGCAUUACAUGGUGGAAAUUUCAAAUAAGCUAUGAUGGGCUAUUUUCUGCAUUAAGUAGGCUUAUGGAUGGGACCCUCCAUUUAAUGGGUUUUGAUAUUUGUACAAAUUACACCCCCUUACAACAGGGGGCUGCGUCAAUAAAAAAAGGCAGGGGGCUGUCAGUCACCAUGUAAACUAUGCUAUAGCUCUAGCGUGGUUCUUUUUGGACAAUGCUAUUUGUACACUUUUUGUGUACAUGAUUGUUUACACCCCUCACAUAGAGGGGGGUCGCAUAUAAUUUAUUAUGCGUGGGCUUACACCAAAAGUGUACAAAUAGAGAGUAAUCCUCCUUCUUCGCCUUUGUCCUUCCAUGUCUUCAAUCGGAAAAACUAUUUUUCUAUGGAAAAAUUAAGGCUUGAUUGA